Molecule: long non-coding RNA, 1316 nt
Organism: Cyprinus carpio (common carp)
Lineage: Eukaryota; Metazoa; Chordata; Actinopteri; Cypriniformes; Cyprinidae
Source: Ensembl
GCCAUCUAUUGGUGUUUGUUAUAAAUUACAUCUUGAUUCAUGUUGAAAUGCAUGCAGGAGUGCAAUUAGUGAUUCUAAAUACAUUGUAAUCUAAAAAAUUACUUAAUUACUAACAUUCCUAUUUAAAUUAACUCUAUUAUUUAAAUAGGUUUAUAUAUAUAUAUAUAUAUAUAUAUAUAUAUAUAUAUAUAUANAUAUAUAUAUAUAUAUAUAUAUAUAUAUAUCUUUCUCUGUUCCAUCCAACCACCCAUUUCAUGACCUACAGCAGGAUAACAUUUUCUCAGUAGUGUUUGGAAGUCCGGGUCUUUUCCGCGAACUGGUUCUUUUAGUAAUCAUAACUUUAGUAAAUUAAAAAAAAACAUCAUCAUCAUAAUCUGAUAAGUUUCUUACAAAUAAUUUUUGCAACUACACUGUAAACCCUAAUGUUGUCAUUAAUAAAGAAAUCAAGUUAACAUAACUUCACAUUACUUAUAACACACAGUUUUGCCAUCAAAACUUAAACAGGUGUGUUUAACUUACUCAUUGGCAGUAAAAAUCUUUUGAAUUAAGAUUUUAAGUGUUAUAAACUCAGAAUUUCCAUUUAUUUAAAUUAUUCGCUACAUCUCUGUUUAAAAAUGAUUGGUCGUGCUUGAAAUUCUGCCUUGACAACAGCGCCGAUUGGCCAAUAUAACACAAGGCGGGAAUUUUUUGUCGAAUUUGCUGAAGACGCAGCACUGACUGCAGGCCAGAACGGAGUCAUUUGCAGAGCCACCUGAAAGAAGAACUAAAUAAUAAAGUUAAAUAGGUAAGUAAAGAUUUAAACGCAACGCAUAAAUAUACACACAUUUUUUUGAUUUCCUUAUACGUUUUAUUGUAAUGUUAUUUGCAUGGUGAAAACACUUUACCGUUUUACUCUGGCAGCGGGCCAGCGGCACAAGCAGCCACACAGGCGGCGAAGCAGGCGGGAAGAGAGUCGUCGUGAAAGACUCAGAGUACGCUGGGACAGUAGCAGGCAGGCGGUUAUGAAGCAGACGAGGAGUCGUGAGGCCACAGGAGUGACGUUCCGCUGGUAAGUUCAUCUAUAACACGCCUGUACAUUUUGCUUUAUUGUCUGUUAAAUGUUUUAUUUUUAUACGGAUGGACAAGGUAUAAAUGGCUUUAAGUUAAAAUCACCCAACUUCCAAACCUAGCAAUUGUUUUACAGACUAGCGCUGUUAGUUUACAAUAGGCCUUAGCAUGAUAUUGCGGCUCAAACUUCGAGAAAAAUCUAUUUACAGACACACUGAAAUGUCUCUGUGUGUAAUUUGUGAAAUGACGUUUUUUUUUUUUGUGUAAAA